Molecule: transfer RNA, 79 nt
Filed under: Zymoseptoria tritici IPO323
Lineage: Eukaryota; Fungi; Ascomycota; Dothideomycetes; Mycosphaerellales; Mycosphaerellaceae
Description: Zymoseptoria tritici tRNA-Arg for anticodon UCU
Rfam family: tRNA
About the family: Transfer RNA (tRNA) molecules are approximately 80 nucleotides in length. Their secondary structure includes four short double-helical elements and three loops (D, anti-codon, and T loops).
Source: Rfam by way of RNAcentral
GGCUAGUUGGUCUAGUAGUAUAAUUUCUAAUUUCUAACUAUAAAUUAGAAGGUUACAGGUUCAAUUCCUGUAUUAGCCU